Molecule: long non-coding RNA, 281 nt
Filed under: Physcomitrium patens
Lineage: Eukaryota; Viridiplantae; Streptophyta; Bryopsida; Funariales; Funariaceae
Description: long non-coding RNA (PPAT_LNC012906)
Source: RNAcentral
ACCAUAAGAUCUAUUCCACACAAGUACAACUACAAGAAAAUGAUAUUAACUUAUUUAAAUGGCACAAUAAAGUAUGGGUGGACCCAUAACCUAUUGAAGAAAUGUGAUAAGCAAGAUACAAGUAAGUAGAAAUUAACAAGGUUGCAUAUAAGAGAAGUAUGAAAUGAGAUACCUCCCACUUCCAACACCCUUUACUUAUAGGUAGAGUUUAUAUCUAUUAUGUCUGAACUUCAUCUUCAUCUAUCUUUGCUUCAUCCUAUGAAACCCUAACUACCACAUAU